UUACAGAUGCAUCAAAAUUAAUUUUUAUGACCCCAACAGGAGGGGGUAGUCAAGAUACUAUACAAAGUUGACAAAAAGAUAAACCCUUUUGUAUUUGGCUAUCCCAAUAUUGACAUGGGGUAGAAAAAGAUAAAAAAUACAAGCAUCUAAAGUCUUUAGCAAAAACUAUCAAUUUGCAUAUUAAUUGAGCAAUCAUCAUCUGAUUGCUAUUAAAGAUCCAUUUAUCCUGAGCCCACGAAAGCAACCAAGCUACAUAUGCCAAG
This 263-nucleotide long non-coding RNA is filed under the name Elaeis guineensis (African oil palm). RNAcentral describes it as "long non-coding RNA (EGUI_LNC078537)". The record is from RNAcentral. Lineage: Eukaryota; Viridiplantae; Streptophyta; Magnoliopsida; Arecales; Arecaceae.